RNAcentral lists this small nucleolar RNA (134 nucleotides) under Saimiri boliviensis boliviensis (Bolivian squirrel monkey). The record is from RNAcentral. Lineage: Eukaryota; Metazoa; Chordata; Mammalia; Primates; Cebidae.
CUGGCCCUGCAUCAAGAUUAGUGGUUUGCUACAGCUGUUGGUUUCAAGCAGGAGUCAAGAGUCAUGUCUUCUUGUGGGCUGUUCGUUGCUCGGCAUCCCAGUGUGAGUGACCAAUUUAGUUGGAAGCCACAUGG